UUUCAGGAUAUUUUUGGAUUUGGAUUUUACGGGUGGAACGACUGGGGAUGUGAAAAUGUGGCCAGGUACAUCUGUGAGAGACCAACAUUGAAUUUGAACAAAACCGAUUUUUAGAAAUUGUAUCUUUUCAAUAAUUGUAAUAAAAGAUUUGGAUUUAACUCCGGUCAUGUAGA
Long non-coding RNA from Eurytemora carolleeae, 173 nucleotides. RefSeq lists it as uncharacterized. Lineage: Eukaryota; Metazoa; Arthropoda; Copepoda; Calanoida; Temoridae. The transcript has 2 exons. The record is from RefSeq and is a predicted model, not a curated record.